RNAcentral lists this ribosomal RNA (238 nucleotides) under uncultured bacterium. RNAcentral's name for it is "partial 16S ribosomal RNA". It matches the Rfam family "Bacterial small subunit ribosomal RNA", at positions 524 to 761 of the family's 1533-position model. The record is from RNAcentral.
GACAGAGGGUGCAAACGUUGUUCGGAUUUACUGGGCGUAAAGCGCGUGUAGGCGGCUUUGCAAGUCGGAUGUGAAAGCCCACGGCUCAACCGUGGAAGUGCAUCCGAAACUGCAUAGCUGGAGUCCCGGAGAGGAAGGUGGAAUGCUUGGUGUAGAGGUGAAAUUCGUAGAUAUCAAGCAGAACACCUGCGGCGAAGGCGGCCUUCUGGACGGUGACUGACGCUGAGACGCGAAAGCG